This 451-nucleotide ribosomal RNA is filed under the name uncultured bacterium. RNAcentral describes it as "partial 16S ribosomal RNA". It matches the Rfam family "Bacterial small subunit ribosomal RNA", at positions 354 to 796 of the family's 1533-position model. The record is from RNAcentral.
GUGGGGAAUAUUGGACAAUGGGGGGAACCCUGAUCCAGCCAUGCCGCGUGUGUGAAGAAGGCCUUUUGGUUGUAAGGCACUUUAAGCGAGGAGGAGGCUACCGAGACUAAUACUCUUGGAUAGUGGACGUUACUCGCAGAAUAAGCACCGGCUAACUCUGUGCCAGCAGCCGCGGUAAUACAGAGGGUGCAAGCGUUAAUCGGAUUUACUGGGCGUAAAGCGCGCGUAGGUGGCCAAUUAAGUCAAAUGUGAAAUCCCCGAGCUUAACUUGGGAAUUGCAUUCGAUACUGGUUGGCUAGAGUAUGGGAGAGGAUGGUAGAAUUCCAGGUGUAGCGGUGAAAUGCGUAGAGAUCUGGAGGAAUACCGAUGGCGAAGGCAGCCAUCUGGCCUAAUACUGACACUGAGGUGCGAAAGCAUGGGGAGCAAACAGGAUUAGAAACCCGUGUAGUCC